Molecule: ribosomal RNA, 429 nt
Filed under: Chloroflexota bacterium
Lineage: Bacteria; Bacillati; Chloroflexota
Description: Chloroflexi bacterium partial 16S ribosomal RNA
Rfam family: Bacterial small subunit ribosomal RNA
Source: RNAcentral
UGGGGAAUAUUGAACAAUGGGCGCAAGCCUGAUGCAGCCAUGCCGCGUGUAUGAAGAAGGCCUUCGGGUUGUAAAGUACUUUCAGCGGGGAGGAAGGGAGUAAAGUUAAUACCUUUGCUCAUUGACGUUACCCGCAGAAGAAGCACCGGCUAACUCCGUGCCAGCAGCCGCGGUAAUACGGAGGGUGCAAGCGUUAAUCGGAAUUACUGGGCGUAAAGCGCACGCAGGCGGUUUGUUAAGUCAGAUGUGAAAUCCUCGGGCUCAACCUGGGAACUGCAUCUGAUACUGGCAAGCUUGAGUCUCGUAGAGGGGGGUAGAAUUCCAGGUGUAGCGGUGAAAUGCGUAGAGAUCUGGAGGAAUACCGGUGGCGAAGGCGGCCCCCUGGACGAAGACUGACGCUCAGGUGCGAAAGCGUGGGGAGCAAACAGG